AUCACUUCUCGGCCUUUUGGCUAAGAUCAAAUGUAGUAUCUGUUCUUUACAGUUUAAUAUCUGAUACAUCCUCUAUCCGAGGAUCCUAUAUUAAAUGGAUUCUUGGAACAGGGAGUUGGAAUAGGAGCUUGCUCCGUCCACUCCUCACAUUGACCUGGUAUUGCAGUACUUCCAGGAACGGUGCACUCUCU
Small nuclear RNA from Otolemur garnettii (small-eared galago), 191 nucleotides. Its record names the gene U2. It matches the Rfam family "U2 spliceosomal RNA". Rfam says of the family: U2 is a small nuclear RNA (snRNA) component of the spliceosome (involved in pre-mRNA splicing). Complementary binding between U2 snRNA (in an area lying towards the 5' end but 3' to hairpin I) and the branchpoint sequence (BPS) of the intron results the bulging out of an unpaired adenosine, on the BPS, which initiates a nucleophilic attack at the intronic 5' splice site, thus starting the first of two transesterification reactions that mediate splicing. Lineage: Eukaryota; Metazoa; Chordata; Mammalia; Primates; Galagidae. The record is from Ensembl.